This 512-nucleotide ribosomal RNA is filed under the name uncultured bacterium. Its description in RNAcentral is "partial 16S ribosomal RNA". It matches the Rfam family "Bacterial small subunit ribosomal RNA", at positions 28 to 523 of the family's 1533-position model. The record is from RNAcentral.
GAUGAAUGCUAGCGACAGGCUUAACACAUGCAAGUCGAGGGGCAGCACGAUUAAAGCUUGCUUUAAUUGGUGGCGACCGGCGCACGGGUGAGUAACGCGUAUGCAACCUACCCAUCAGAGUGGGAUAACCCGGCGAAAGUCGGACUAAUACCGCAUAAAACAGGGAUCCCGCAUGGGAUAUUUGUUAAAGGAUUAAUUGCUGAUGGAUGGGCAUGCGUUCCAUUAGAUAGUUGGUGAGGUAACGGCUCACCAAGUCUGCGAUUGAUAGGGGUUCUGGGAGGAAGGUCCCCCACACUGGUACUGAGACACGGACCAGACUCCUACGGGAGGCAGCAGUGAGGAAUAUUGGACAAUGGGGGGAACCCUGAUCCAGCAAUGCCGCGUGUGUGAAGAAGGCCUGAGGGUUGUAAAGCACUUUCAGUGGGGAGGAGGUUUGGAAGGUUAAGAGCUAUUCAAAUGGACGUUACCCACAGAAGAAGCACCGGCUAACUCCGUGCCAGCCGCCGCGGUAA